CCUANGGGGGGCUGCAAUUAGGAAUCUUGCGCAAUGGGCGAAAGCCUGACGCAGCGACGUCGCGUGACCGAUGAAGUCUUUCGGGAUGUAAAGGUCUUUUUUGGGGGAAGAAGGAUGUGACGGUACCCCAAGAAUAAGCCCCGGCUAACUACGUGCCAGCAGCCGCGGUAAUACGAAGGGGGCUAGCGUUGUUCGGAAUUACUGGGCGUAAAGCGCACGUAGGCGGGUCGUUAAGUCAGGGGUGAAAUCCCGGAGCUCAACUCCGGAACUGCCUUUGAUACUGGCGAUCUAGAGAUCGGAAGAGGUUAGUGGAAUUCCCAGUGUAGAGGUGAAAUUCGUAGAUAUUGGGAAGAACACCAGUGGCGAAGGCGGCUAACUGGUCCGAUACUGACGCUGAGGUGCGAAAGCGUGGGGAUCAAACAGGAUUAGAUACCCCUNUANUC
This 443-nucleotide ribosomal RNA is filed under the name uncultured bacterium. RNAcentral describes it as "bacterial SSU rRNA". It matches the Rfam family "Bacterial small subunit ribosomal RNA", at positions 338 to 795 of the family's 1533-position model. The record is from RNAcentral.